UCGUACCUUUUGCAUCAUGAUUUAGCCAGUACCCCUCAAGCGAAGAGCAUUUUAGUUUGAUCCCCCGAAACUACGUGAGCUACUCCAAGACAGCCUAUCAUAGGGCAAAUCCGUCUCUGUGGCAAAAGAGUGGAAAGAGCUUUGAGUAGAGGUGACAAACCUACCGAACCUAGUUAUAGCUGGUUGCCUGAGAAUUGGAUAUGAGUUCAGCCUCUAGGCUUCUUUCCUCCCCCGGACCUUACCAACACCGACACCUAAAGAAACCAAGAGAGUUAAUCAAAGGGGGUACAGCCCCUUUGAUAUAAGACACAACUUUUACAGGAGGGUAAAGAUCAUAAUCACCAAGGACAUAUGCCCUAGUGGGCCUAAAAGCAGCCACCUACAUAGAAAGCGUUAAAGCUCAAGCAUUAAACCUGCCCACCUAUUCAGAUAACACCUCCCAACCCCCUAACACUACCAGGCCUUCUCAUGCAAACAUGAGAGUGCCCAUGCUAAUAUGAGUAAUAAGAAGGCCCCGGCUUUCUCCUGACACACGU
RNAcentral lists this ribosomal RNA (536 nucleotides) under Brama japonica. RNAcentral's name for it is "partial 16S ribosomal RNA". It matches the Rfam family "Bacterial large subunit ribosomal RNA", at positions 599 to 1344 of the family's 2925-position model. The record is from RNAcentral. Lineage: Eukaryota; Metazoa; Chordata; Actinopteri; Scombriformes; Bramidae.